CAUCACACAACUCCUAUCACCUAAUGCAUCAGAUAAGGUGAAAAAGCAUUUAAAACACAAGGAAGGGGCAAAUGCACCGGGGCUUGCCUUUGUUGCAGAGAAGAGGUUCUAGAUACUUCUAACACGAUGAUCAGUUAGAUGGCUCCAUCCACUUGAUGAACAGGCACUGGAGUAGACUCCUCUUCAGCAACCACUUUAUCUUAAAUCUUCACUCUUUAUUUUGGGAGCUCUACAUGAAAUGACAUGAUCAUGAAUGCUUAUGCUUAUGUAGUUAGCAAAUAAGGUAUUAUAAAGCAUUACAUGAUUACACCUACAAGCUAUCAUCAUAAGUAAUAGUUACCAGGGAUCUACUUAUCCUUAGAACUCAUCUAACCAUCCAAAACUUGCUAAACAACUUCAUUCCUUACUAAGACACUAGGUGUCCUAAAUACCCUCGGGUAAAACUCUUUUCCUUUAUUGAGAAAUAAUUAAUUUGCUAAGCAAAUCUUGUCCAAACAGUUCUAAACUUUACCCAAGGGUUCACAUGCUCAAGAUAAGCUUACACAAUUUUUAGUGCUCUAUUUUUAUUACUAAAACUCAUAUAAUCCUAUUAAAACCAAGUUUUAAUUAUACAAAAAUAAGGACCUGCCUAAAAACCCCUAAAACUAUUUUUUUAAACCUAGAGAACCCAUUUUUGCGAGUCCAACAAUAUUUAUCCCACAAAUGUUACUUCUUUUUGUAGUUCUAGGCAAAAUUCACAAGCUCUAUGGUAAAUAAUAAAAACAAACCAUAUACAGAGCUAGGGCUGAAAUCGGCCCAGUUGGUCCAGCACGAGAGAAAAUUGGUGCCAGCCGGCCCAAAGCUCUAGACUCGCGCACCCGCGCUCUCUUCGCGCGCGCCGGCAGCGGCGUCGUGACGCUUCCGAUACGCUAGAGCAGUAAAGAUGAAACAGCCAGGCCGAUGAGUAUCACCACUCUAUAAGGAGAUCAAAAUAUAUAAACGACAACAUGGAAUACGGCUGUGCUUGCCUGGCCACGGUGAGGCGGAGCUACGGCCGGCGUGGUCACCUGCUCAGAGAGAACGGCAACAGCCCCGGCCUCAGGCGAGUUGAACGAGGUAACGCAGUUCCACGCAGACGCGAGAGCAUGGACACGGAGAACUCUCGUCGAACUCUACAAGCAACAGCAAGGCGCCAGAGCACUCCACCGAGCAGGGAAGCAAGGCAGUAUCAAGGAAACAAAGAAACAUGAGCACGUCGAGCAUGUUCACACGUGAUUGUUAUUCGUGUUUCGGUCGACAGCUGCAUGGGUUGGACACGCGGCCUCCACGCCAAGGCUCCACGCACAACCCAGGCUAUGGCUCAUUGAAAAACAUUGGUCGGUGUCGCACAGGCAGGAAACAUGCAGGCAGGGGAGGUCUCCAUGGAUAACUACGACGCUUCAGAUUUUUACAGCGUGAAUCUCACGGCUCGACCACUAGAAACAUUCCGGUCACACCCUGAUACACCCCUAGCAACAUCCUAUCUUAUCUUCAACUGCUCAUCCACGCACCAGAGAAAUCUCCCACGCUAUCCCAAUACAAAAAUCUGCCCACUGUCUCAAUCUGAAAUAGCACCUGUGGAGCACACAGAGACGUGGAGAUCUUUGCUUUUCCAUAUCCUAAAAGCUUCAGCCACCAGAACCUACACUCAAACUUCUUUCUGCUACCCACGCCGAGCACAUAGGAAACAAGCAAGCAAUUACCUACCGUCGUGCAGCAUGGGCAUGUCGCCCCCUUCCUCUCCUAGCUGUCCAAACUGAGACAGGUUACACAAAACUGACCAAUAUUCAAUGCCCAGCAUGUCUGACAGCUCAGGUUCCAGCAAUUCCUACUCCAUUAUUUGCAACACGACUUGCAAAUCGGUCUUAAUCAAAGUUGUGCACUGAUCCACACUCUAUCACUUUGGUAUAAUAACUAUAACAAAAACUCCACGGAUCACGCACAGGAGAGCACCAAAGUCCACAAAAAAAACACAGAUGCCUAGCUUCAAAUCACAGAGAAGGGAAUCAUAGCUGCAGCAUGGAAAGCUUUUUGCUCCCAAAAACUGAACCCAAUUUUCAGUCACCUAGAACUGAAUUCAGCACUAAUCAACUGAACCCCUACCUUUAACCCCUUUGAUCCUCACUAGUGCAAGCAAUACAUGCCAAUCUUAGUUAACAAAGAUUGUUCCCAAUGUAUAGAUUUAAAUGUUUGCUGCAGCAGCCUUAGGUCAAAGGUUCAUGGAUCAAAAGUUAUGGUGCUCCAAAAUGGGGUGAAAAUACAAGAAUUCAGAUUCAGCUAGCUGAAACAAAAACUGAAAUCAACACCAGACAGAGAGAGUUUGGGCACAAUUUACUCCAAAUUUGGUGCAGCACCAAAUCAAACUUAUUUAAGGAAACUUGUUCACUAACUUAUGAUCUCCAAUGUUUCUAUAUAAUUCAUAGUUUAAAACCUAAUGGAAUGGCCACACAAGUGCUCUAAACAGGCCACCAAUCGCUAAAAUUCAGUUGUCCGUUAAUUGAACAAAAUUCAGUCCAUGUAAACUGACAACCCACUUUUGAGUAACUUUUACUCCAUGUUCUGGGUCCGAUCAAGCCUAACUCACACAACAAAAUUUGUUCACUGACAUAUUCUCUUCAACUCUCCCAUAGCAACUAUGGUCCAAAACUGCCUAGAACAGGCAACACACAGCCCCAAAAUGGCACUAAAAACACUGAUUUCAGACUUAGUCAACUAUUCGAAGUCUGAAAAUCCAGAAGUCUGACAGUCCCACUUUGAACACCUUUUUAUCCUAGUUGCAUAUGGUUUUAGGGCUGCUACAUUUCAUAAACAUUGUUCUCCUAUAGUUACUCUAUAGGUUUGUUAUAACAACUGUUUCCAACAUACUCAUGGAUUAAAGGUUACAGGGAUUCAAAAACAGAUAAACAAAACUGUUUUGGGCUGAUUCCAUCCGACCCAAAUCUGAAUUUUUGCAAAUUACUUCAAAUUCUCCCACAUCACUUGGAGAGCUCCAAAUAUAAAAAAUGUUCAUUUUUCCAAGCUCUACAACUUUUAUAUAUGAACUUUUAGCAAAACAUAGCUGGAUCUUAAAAUCCACUUUUGGGCUAGUUUAGAGUUGAAAUUGGACUUGAUCUGCUUCAAGUGCUUCAUCAAUUUAUUGCAUCCUACUAAAAACAAGGUUAACCUUAAGCUCAAACCCAACUUUAGUGUAUAGAGCUCAUGUCCAAAUUUCUAUUGGUUUAAAAGUUGCUUGUUUGUACUAGAUUUCAAACAAGGUCUCUGAACUUCUCUUGCUCUCUUCGAAACGACACAACCUCACCCUUUUCUUCAAGUUCCAAAUGCUUCUGAGGCCAAGUUGCUUAAUCAAAUUGGUGCUCCACAUGUUGCUCCACAAGUUUGGUACAAUGACCCUUAGCUAGAACCAUAUGGAUUCCAAACAAUCAAAGCCCAAAGUUGGCAUUAAACACACAAAUUCAGACUUUGGUUUUUCACUAAGUCUGAUAAUCCAGAAUUAAACACUACAUUUUUGGACCACUGUUUCUACCAGUUCCAAAUAGUUUUAGGGGUAUGAACCUUAACCAAACUUAUACCCCAACAUGUGGUAUUCCACUUUGGUACAUAAAUUGUAAUCCAUAGCCAUAUGGAUCAGCCACCAACAGGCUUCCAAAGUUGCUUCAGCAUAAAAAUCUUCAGUUUCAGACAUUGCAGUCUGAAAUUCAGAUUCUGACAUUCCCACUUUGGACCAGUUUUCCACCUAGUUCCAUAUGAAUUUAGGGUUAAGUAGCUUAAACAAAAUUAUACAUCUAGUGUAGCUCUACAGCUUUGCUACUGUGACCAUCUUGAAAUUGCCUAUAUAUCAAAAGUUAUGAAGAUUCAAAGACAGCUACUUGAUAUUGUUUCCAGCCAUCCAACCUUAGGUCCAAAAAGUUAAUUUUUGAGUUUUCUUCACUUCUUCCUAUAAAACAUGGAAAUCUCUGUACCUGAAAGUUGUUUGGGUUGGAGAACUCUAUAAAUUUGGUAAUUUGACCUUUUGGCAAAUUAUUGCCAAAUCACAAGUUCCACUUUUGGAGCUCUAAACUGAGAUUUUCAAAACCAGGUCCUUCACUCUUCACUAAUCACAACAUCAUACUUAGAUUAUUUUGGAUCCUAGUAAAUGCAUUCUAAGUGUAUCAAGCAAGUUAAUGCGAGUGCGUAUGAUGACAUGCCAAUUUUUUAGUUCUCGUAACACCAGGGGUGUUACAGCCUUUCCCCCUAAAAAGGAAUCUCGUCCCGAGAUUUAAACUCCAAGCCAAGUAAUGGAUAAGGAAAUGCAUUACUUGUUUAUUUUCCCAUUACUCUUAAAAGACAGGAGGCAUACCUCUGUUGGUUUACAUUAAGAACAAAACACACCAGACCUAGGUUUACAAGACACUAGAAACUCAGGAACAUGCUUUUCUAGAUUCUCCAAUUCUCAUGUGGCUUGAUCUUCCGUGUGUUUUGGUUCCACCGUAUCUUGUAAAACUCGAUCACUUUCUUCGGGUGGCCCUAUCCUUUUGAUCCAAAACCUUUAUGAAAUAUUCCGAGUAGAUUAAAUCCGGUUGAAGAUUGACAUUUGAAAUCUCAAGAACAUGUUCGGGGACUCGAAGAAACCUCUUCAACUGAUACACGUGGAAUAUGUUGGGCACUGUUGAAAGAUUCUCUAGCAGCUGCACCUUAUAAACCAAAGGUCCACCAAAAUCUCUAUUCCAAAUCUUGGUUCAUCUUACUACUUCUAGGGUAAUUGGAGUUUCAGACUGCAACUUGAUCGUAAAUUCCACAACCCUUUCCGGAGGUAAACCAAGCAGAUUCUUGGGGAACACCUCUGCAAACCUCUUAACAUCGGGUAUAUUCUUUACUUCUUUCACUUAAACUCCUGAUGCAGACGAACCUUAUUAUCUCCCAGAACAACUUGACUAACCACCUUAUUAUAACCUUAUGUCGAACUGGUUGUCAUCAGGAGUUGAAGCUUCACAUUAAAACCACGUAGGAAGUAUUACCUUUUCCUCUCACUAGUAUCCACAAAAUCCAAACCAUACUGGGAUAGGUGUGUAAACCUCUCAAAAUACUCCAUUAUACUCUCUUUUUUGCAUAGCUUCUGACCUAAGAACUCAUUGAACUUUAUUUAUAUAGGGGCUUUCGAAAUAUCAUGUGCCCGAAAUACUCCACGGAACUCAACCCGAGAACUUAACGUCCUUCUGGCUGCAGCGCAAGGUAUUCUACCCACCAACUAAACUUGGCUUUGAGUCUUCAAAAAUAGGGAAAGGUAGCAUAGAAAGGCAAAGACAGGUAACAUGAACAAGGUAGACGAAACACGUACUAAAGCUACUAUAUAGGGGGUUUAACUUAAAGUUAUAUGUCAUGAUGCAUGCUCGUCCUAUUCGUCCUCACAAUCUUGCCAUCAUAUAGUGGCUUGCACGCUCUAUGGCGGUGGCAUACCUACUCACUCCGGAGUUAACUAGUCGUAAUUUCCUAGAGUUUAGUCAGUGUACCUGCAGAAAAUUCCAUUACAGCCUAAACCCCAUGAUGCAAUUCACACAUUUGGUCACAGUUUAUACUCCAUAUAUUUAUAUAUAGAUGACAACUCCUCAUUAAGCGCCGAGCCACGCAUAGGCGCCGCUGCCACACUUUAACCACAUGACAGCACAUUGUGGUAACUAUUCAUUACACUUCUCAACACUCCCAUGUUUGUAUACCCAUACACAUCCAUGGGGUAUUGAAUCCUAGAAAAGUAAUUACUCCACAUUGCAACCUUCAUAUAUACAUAUGUAGAAUAUGUAUAUAGUCUAGUGCCACAUUUAAGCACUCCCCUAGACCGACGUUUGUUCGGUCAUGCUCUCACAACUCACCUUUACCUGAGCGUCGAUCCAUUCAAAACUGAAUGACACUAAAAAUAACAUUACACAUGUAUGCAUUACCCUUCCUAGGUUGUGGGUUAGUGGUUAGCAUCUUAAACUAAGCCACCUGAUAGUCCUUAGUUUUAACCACAUACUAUUUGCACUUCUACUAUCAAGCCUUGAUUAUAGAUUCUUAAGUUUAUAAAAAUCAUUUAGACUCAAAAUCAUUUUGAAGUUUAACAAAGGAUUACUUUAAUAUCCAUGCUAAUGAGGGAUCGCUCCGAUACCACGCUGUGACAGCCCUCCCAAGUUAUCAGGCCCACAUGCACCAACCCUUGCCAUUAACGGUCUCAGAUGGCUGUGCACGUGUACCGGGUAACUUAACAAGGCUAUCGAGUUCACCAACUGGAACUCAUCAUCCCAAGGAUCUCCCACAUAAUAGGUAUAUUACAAUAAUCACAUUUGAUACACACACAUUGGAGAUAGAGCGGAAGACUUUUAUAAAGUACACUUUACAUUCCAGAACUCAAGUUUUACAAGGUAGAAAGAGAUGUAUUUAUUACAAGUCCUGAUAGUACCCAAAGUGCAUAACUUAUUACAAUAAUUGGAAGGGUGAAGCCUUUUAAGAGAUACACAUAAACAUUCUAAGCUUCAAGGCCUCCACAUGAAGUAACUAACCAAAAGAUAAGGGAAUAAAACUUCUCCUGCAAAAACAACAGGGGAUAAAACCCUGAGUACGCAAUUACUCAGCAAGACUUACCCGACUAAAGAAAAGACUCUCAAGGGUAUGCUAGUUGAUUGGGAAUCAAGGUAAGGUUUAUCAAUGAUCAAAGACUCCUUUUGCAGAAAAGCUUGCUACCAGUUGAUCCUUAAGCCAAGUUUUAUUUCACUAGUUAGGUUAUUACCUGAAUCUAUAUUUGCCUGAUCUAGUUCAAGCACUUGGCCUAUACUAGCUCCAUUUUAUUCAUUCUCAUAUUUCACUUGCUAACUACGAUGAUGGUCACCGGGAUGAGUCUCCAUAACCGAGGAGCAACGACGAUUCGAACCGAUUAUACCCAGCUGGGGAUCUCUAACCACACGACAUAUGUAGCACUUGACCCUUGCAUAUGUCAACCGUUCCCACGGAGUCCUCCACUACAUGAACAGGUCCGCGCCACCCGAGAGCACAUUACCCUACCAAGCGUGCUACUAUGCCAGGAGGGUACAUGCUACUCCCGCCAUCUCUCCACUCCCAGUGCGCGAUUGUCUCUUCACGUAUGGAAUAGCCGGGUUCAAGCUUACCCUGUCCCAUACCAGGGUAUGUGGCUAGUUGCAAAGUCUCAACCACAACAGGCCAGUCAACGGUACGGUCCUUAAUCGACACAAACGGGCGACUCUGUCUGCUCAGCGCCUGGUCUAGAUUUAUUAACCAUUUCCCCAUUUUUGGUACCCGGCAGGGGUACUCUUUUCCAAUGAUGAGCCCACUCCGGCCGAAGUGGAGUCAUCACCUUAGUUUGCUUUGAUUUUUGAAUCAAAAAGCCGAUAACCAAUGUUCCACAAUCAUUCUUUUUGAAAACAAAUGAUUUUUCAGUUUCUAAGCAGGGUUAAGCAUUAUCAGUUCUUUUUAUAAAUCAGGGAUUAAGGAGUUUCCAAGGAAUGGUAAUGCAUCAAUUUUUCAUCACACAACUCCUAUCACCUAAUGCAUCAGAUAAGGUGAAAAAGCAUUUAAAACACAAGGAAGGGGCAAAUGCACCGGGGCUUGCCUUUGUUGCAGAGAAGAGGUUCUAGAUACUUCUAACACGAUGAUCAGUUAGAUGGCUCCAUCCACUUGAUGAACAGGCACUGGAGUAGACUCCUCUUCAGCAACCACUUUAUCUUAAAUCUUCACUCUUUAUUUUGGGAGCUCUACAUGAAAUGACAUGAUCAUGAAUGCUUAUGCUUAUGUAGUUAGCAAAUAAGGUAUUAUAAAGCAUUACAUGAUUACACCUACAAGCUAUCAUCAUAAGUAAUAGUUACCAGGGAUAUACUUAUCCUUAGAACUCAUCUAACCAUCCAAAACUUGCUAAACAACUUCAUUCCUUACUAAGACACUAGGUGUCCUAAAUACCCUGGGGUAAAACUCUUUUCCUUUAUUGAGCAAUAAUUAAUUUGCUAAGCAAAUCUUGUCCAAACAGUUCUAAACUUUACCCAAGGGUUCACAUGCUCAAGAUAAGCUUACACAA
This 8050-nucleotide long non-coding RNA is filed under the name Zea mays. RNAcentral describes it as "long non-coding RNA (ZMAY_LNC003443)". The record is from RNAcentral. Lineage: Eukaryota; Viridiplantae; Streptophyta; Magnoliopsida; Poales; Poaceae.